CUUGCUCGAGCUCUGGACAUUCUCUUCAUAUUACAUGCAGAACAUGAAAUGAACUGCUCUACUGCAGCAGCACGCCACCUUGCUUCAAGGUAUGCAUCUUAUUGUCUACACUAAAAAAGAGAUUGUUUUUUAUUAGUUACCUUGUGAGUCUGCCUGUGCAGUGGUGAAAGAGAUUGUUUUUUAUUAGUUACCUUGUGAGUCUGCCUGUGCAGUGGUGUUGAUGUAUAUACAGCCCUUGCUGGAGCAGUUGGGGCGCUAUAUGGUCCUCUUCAUGGUGGAGCAAAUGAGGUAAUCAG
RNAcentral lists this long non-coding RNA (296 nucleotides) under Olea europaea (common olive). RNAcentral's name for it is "long non-coding RNA (OEUR_LNC008096)". Lineage: Eukaryota; Viridiplantae; Streptophyta; Magnoliopsida; Lamiales; Oleaceae. The record is from RNAcentral.